RNAcentral lists this long non-coding RNA (3793 nucleotides) under Podarcis lilfordi (Lilford's wall lizard). The stretch from base 847 to 904 matches the Rfam family "tRNA", at positions 8 to 63 of the family's 71-position model. The record is from RNAcentral. Lineage: Eukaryota; Metazoa; Chordata; Lepidosauria; Squamata; Lacertidae.
GCAAACACAACCUUCUUCUUCUUCUUCUUCUUCUUCUUCUUCUUCUUCGAUCACUCUUAGCCAAGUAAGAUUGUCUUCCACGAACACAGUUUUAACAGUGAGUCCAUAGGUGACUGUGGAGGCCAAUUCUGGAUCCACACGUCUUUCCACAAUGGGGACAUAGGUUUCCAGGUGGGAGUUGAUCACGGUGAGGGUUUGCCAAGCGUGCCUUCCUCUUAGCGCGUUUCUCUCUUUCCUUCUGAGUUCGAGCGUCUUCAAAGACGAUGAUCAGGCAUCCACACAACAUGACCAGUCCAAGUUGAUGUUGAAGAAUCAUUGCUUUGACACUGGUGAUCUUUGCUUCUUCCAGUACACUGGCAUUAGUUUGCCAGCCUUCCAAAGUGAUGUGUAAGCAUUUUUGGAGACACCGUUGAUGGAAUCUUUUGAGGAGCUGGAGAUGCCAUUUAUAAGUGGUCCAUGUUUCACAAGCAUACAGUAAGGUUGGUAGUACAAUAGUUUUGUAAACAAGCAUUUUGGUUUCCCUGCAAAUGUCCUGGUCCUCAAACACUCUGCACUUCAAUCGGGAGAAAGCCGCACUUACAGAGCUCAGGCAAUACUGGAUUUCAGCAUCAAUGUCAGCCCUUGAGGAAAGAUAACUGCCCAGGUAGGAGAAGUGAUCAACAUUUUACAACGUUGCACCGUUGAGUUGGAUUUGUGUUGUUGCAGAGGGGUUGUUUUGUGCUUGUUGGUGCAGCACUUUGGUUUUUUGUAUGUUGAGUGAUAGGCCGAGCUUUUCACAAGUUUCUGCGAAUAUAUUUACGAUAGUUUGGAGGUCAUCCUCUGAGUGUACCAACACAACCACUGGGAUAGCUCAGUCAGUAGAGCACGAGACUCUUAAUCUCAGGGUCGUGGGUUUGAGUCUCAUGUUGGGCAAAAGAUUCCAGCAUUGCAGAGGUUUGGACCACAUGUUCCUUGUUGUCCCUUCCAACUCUAUAAUUCUAUGAUGCUACAAGUGCUGUUGCACAAGCCUAAGAGUGAGAAUAAUGGUUGCACAAUAUGAAAUCUAGUGCAAUAGUUGAAGCAUUAUUUGUCCAGGGCAGGCUAUUCUUACAGUACUUGAAGUCAAGAGAGUGUAUUUGUUCUGAAUGGAAAACAAAUAAUCUGUUGUUUUUAAUGGCAAGCCUGCUUAAUUCUUUAAUUAAUGGUUCUCUUUUCGAAACAGCCUCACUUUUUUUCUAAUGAAAUCUUGCUUUAAAGAAAGAAAGUGUUGGUUUCCAUUACCCAGGCUUUGAGGGCAAUCAGGUAAAAAAAAGUCUCGAAGAGUCUAUUUCAAGGAUUCCCAUGAUACCCGCAAAUACGCUGAGCUAGGUUUUUCCCCCUGCUGAUGGAUGACAUUGAUCUGGAAACAAAUGGGGUAUGUGUAAUUCAGAAGAAUGGCAAGGACUACUGCAUUUUCAUUAAUUGCUGACAGUGUAAUCCCACACACAACUUACUUGCGAAUAAGUUUCACUGAACUUAGGGGAAUGUACUGAUCAAUAAACACGUGCAGGCCUAUUAGUUUCAUUUCUGUUUCCUGAUGGAAACUUUCCAAGACAGGAACCCUUUAGAAAAUAUUUUUUUGGUCUCAACAAAUAUACAAAAAUAUAAUUCCUUAAUUGUAAUUCAGUGUCCUGUCUUCUGUACCCAGCUGAGAUCAAGAAAGGGAGCACAUUUCUUCAGCAAAGCAGUUAACUAAAACCCUUUUGAUAUUCUUCUUCUUUGAUCAGGGCUGGCGUCAGGGGUUGGCAGGGCCCAGGCCACAUUAGGGAGCCCCCUGCCAAUCCCUGGAGCCUCCUGGUUCUAUUGCUGCUUCUCCUUGCUGAUGCUACCCGUUUAUCUGCAAGCAAUGAAGUGAGAUGAUACAAUACGAUACAAUACAAUACGAUACGGUAUCUUUAUUGCCAUUGUCCCAUACAGAACAAUGAAAUUGAAAAAUCUACAUAAGACAUUCAAAAACCCCUAAAAACUCUGAAACCCCAUUUUAAAAUACAAUAUACUAUUGAGACUCCUUAUACUGCGUUUAAAACGAGAAUUGCAUUUGGGUAGAAACUGUUUUUCAGGUGGCUAGUCCUGGUCUUUAUAACCUUAUACCUUCUUCCAGAAGGCAGAAGCUGAAAGAGAUCAUUUCCGGGGUGUGUACUAUCCUGUGCUAUCUCUGCAGCUUUCUUAUGGCACCUGACAGCAUAGAUUUGAUCUAAGGUGGAAAGAGUGCACCCAAUUAUUAUCUCUGCAGUCUUUACAACCCUGGACAGCAUUGUUUUAUCCCUGGCCGUGCAGCUCACAAACCACACACAGAGACCAUAAGUUAAUACACUCUCCACAGUACAUGAUGGAGAAGAAAGAGCAGUAACUUAUUUUUAUUUAUUUAUUUUUUAUUUUUUUUGGACAAAAUAAUAAUCAUAAAUAAAUAAGAAUAAAAAUGUAUACCCCACCAUUGAAACCAUUCCAUUGUAACUAUCCAACCUCCCAAAAUUUCAACCGCUCUUGCGAUGGUUUUGCCUCUUUCUGUUUUAACAGUACAAAUUCUACAAACACUCUCCAUUCAAAACCAUUUCUUCUGCAUAUUCCCCAUCUUACCUUAAUGGCACAUGCUAAUUCAUCAUUAACAGCUAUAUCCCACACCUCUUUAUACCAUUUGUUCAUUUUAUAAGAGCAGUAGCUUAUGCGUACUUUGUCCUCUGUCUCAAGAGCCAGUGUGGUGUAGUGGUUAAGAGUGGUGGACUCGUAAUCUGGUGAACUGGGUUCGCUUCCCCGCUCCUCCACAUGCAGCUGCUGGGUGACCUUGGGCUAGUCACCCUUCUCUGAAGUCUUUCAGCCUCACUCACCUCACAGAGUGUGUUGUAGGGGAGGAAGGGAAAGGAGAUUGUUAGCCGCUUUGAGACUCCUUAAGGGGAGUGAAAGGCGGAAUAUCAAGUCUAAACUCUUCUUCUUCUUCUUCUUCUUCUUCUUCUUCUUCUUCUUCUUCGGGGUUUGGACUGAUACAGAGUCAUAGAAUCAUAGAGAGGGAAGGGUCCUGAGGAUCAGCUAAUCCAACCCCCUGAAAUGGAGCUGUCCUUUAUGGGGAUCAAACCUGCAACCUUGGCGUUAUCAGCACCAUGCUCUAACCAGUUGCGCUACCCAGUCAAGGGCAAACAAAUAGGCAGUGGCAAUGGUAUUGAGGAGGAGAGCACCCACGAAGUGCAUCUUUCCCAAAGCCUCCCCCAAAUCCAAAACUGGUAGUAUCUUUAAUGAACAGGGGAUCUCAUUUGUACCUGAAGGAGCAUCUCCACCCCCAUCAUUCAGCCCGGACACUGAGGUCCAGCUCCAAGGGGCUUCUGGCCUUCCCCUCCCUAUGAUAAGUGAGGUUACAGGGAACCAGGCAGAGGGCCUUCUCAGUAGUGGCGCCCACCCUGUGGAAUGCCCUCCCACCAAGGAAAUAAACAAAUAUCUGACUUUUGGAAGACAUCUGAAGGCAACCCUGUUUUGGGAAGUUUUUAAUGUCUGAUGUUUUAUCGUGUUUUUAGUGUUCUGUUGGGAGCCGCCCAGAGUGGCUGGGGAAACCCAGCCAGAUGGGUGGAGUAUAAAUAAAUUGUUGGUGGUGGUGGUGAUGUUGUUGCUAAUGCCACAAACUGCUUCAGAGUUAUCCAUAUAUACCAAAACACAGGAAAUAAGCACACAGGGUGAACUUAUGCGUGUUUUCUGAAACAUUAGCCUCAUCGUGUUCAUGGUGUGCAUAGGGUCAUAUCCUUAGAAUAAGCGUCACAUUAAAUUGAAUGCUCUUAAAAAAAAUGUUACU